UUCUUAUUGGAUGAUGAUUACCACAUGUCAUGUUCUGAUUGGAUGUCAACUUCAUGAAAGAUGAAAUGAAUUGUUGUUUUCAUUGACCAAUCAGAACAUGACACAUGAAAGUCAUCAUCC
Non-coding RNA from Glycine soja, 120 nucleotides. The record is from Rfam. NCBI's taxonomy places the organism in Eukaryota, Viridiplantae, Streptophyta, Magnoliopsida, Fabales, Fabaceae.